This 463-nucleotide ribosomal RNA is filed under the name uncultured bacterium. RNAcentral describes it as "bacterial SSU rRNA". It matches the Rfam family "Bacterial small subunit ribosomal RNA", at positions 26 to 507 of the family's 1533-position model. The record is from RNAcentral.
AGGACGAACGCUGGCGGCGUGCUUAACACAUGCAAGUCGAACGGUAAGGCCCUUCGGGGUACACGAGUGGCGAACGGGUGAGUAACACGUGGGUGAUCUGCCCUGCACUUCGGGAUAAGCCUGGGAAACUGGGUCUAAUACCGGAUAGGACCAUGGACUUCACGGUUUGUGGUGGAAAGCUUUGCGGUGUGGGAUGGGCCCGCGGCCUAUCAGCUUGUUGGUGGGGUAAUGGCCUACCAAGGCGACGACGGGUAGCCGGCCUGAGAGGGUGUCCGGCCACACUGGGACUGAGAUACGGCCCAGACUCCUACGGGAGGCAGCAGUGGGGAAUAUUGCACAAUGGGCGCAAGUCUGAUGCAGCGACGCCGCGUGAGGGAUGACGGCCUUCGGGUUGUAAACCUCUUUCAAUAGGGACGAAGCGCAAGUGACGGUACCUAUAGAAGAAGCACCGGCCAACUACGUG